UCAGACGAUGCGUCAUGCAUAUCAAUAAGCGGAGGAAAAGAAACUAACAGGGAUUGCCCUUAGUAACGGCGAGUGAAGCGGGAACAGCUCAAAUUUGAAAUCUUCAAGGUUUUACCUUGACGAAUUGUAGUUUAAAGAAGUGUUUUCUGUUGAAGUUUUGGUAAAAGUUCUUUGGAAUAGGACAUCAUAGAGGGUGAGAAUCCCGUAUUUGACCAUUAUUUUCAGCUGUGUGAUACACUUUCAAAGAGUCGGAUUGUUUGGGAAUGCAGUCCAAAAUGGGUGGUAAAUUUCAUCUAAAGCUAAAUAUUGGCGAGAGACCGAUAGCGAACAAGUACCGUGAGGGAAAGAUGAAAAGAACUUUGAAAAGAGAGUUAAACAGUACGUGAAAUUGUCAAAAGGGAAGCGUUUGACACCAGUGUUGUUUUCUCGAAAAUCAAUUAAAAAGAGUUAGAUUUUGUUGUGUAUUGACCUUAACAGCUUGCAUUUCAAUUUUCUUGCUUUUUUUAAUGCACUUUUCGUUUAACAAGUCAACAUCAGUUUCUUUUGUUGUAAAAAGGUCAUUGGAAGGUGGCUUUCUUUUCGGAGAAAGUGUUUAUAGCCUUUGACUCCUGCAAUCGGAGAGACUGAGGUCUGCAGCGUAGAUCCUUCGGGGUUAGAUACAUUUGUGCUAAGUUAUAGCUUUUUAUAGACAACUUGUUGACUAUGAUUAGUCUUGUAGCUUACUCGCUUAUGCUAUUUUACCUACGCUUAGGAUGUUGAGUCGUAGAGCACGCAG
RNAcentral lists this ribosomal RNA (775 nucleotides) under uncultured Neocallimastigales. RNAcentral describes it as "partial large subunit ribosomal RNA". It matches the Rfam family "Eukaryotic large subunit ribosomal RNA", at positions 18 to 622 of the family's 3401-position model. The record is from RNAcentral. Lineage: Eukaryota; Fungi; Neocallimastigomycota; Neocallimastigomycetes; Neocallimastigales.